UACGAGGGGGGCGAGCGUUGUUCGGAAUUAUUGGGCGUAAAGGGUGCGUAGGCGGUUUGGUGAGUCUGAUGUGAAAUCUAUGGGCUCAACUCAUAGUCUGCAUCGGAAACUGCCGGGCUUGAGUAUGGGAGAGGUGAGUGGAAUUCCUGGUGUAGCGGUGAAAUGCGUAGAUAUCAGGAGGAACACCUGUGGCGAAAGCGGCUCACUGGACCAUAACUGACGCUGAUGCACGAAAGCUAGGGGAGCAAACAGG
This 253-nucleotide ribosomal RNA is filed under the name uncultured bacterium. Its description in RNAcentral is "partial 16S ribosomal RNA". It matches the Rfam family "Bacterial small subunit ribosomal RNA", at positions 524 to 776 of the family's 1533-position model. The record is from RNAcentral.